Molecule: ribosomal RNA, 4398 nt
Filed under: Triticum aestivum (bread wheat)
Lineage: Eukaryota; Viridiplantae; Streptophyta; Magnoliopsida; Poales; Poaceae
Description: partial small subunit ribosomal RNA
Source: RNAcentral
AUGUACGCGGCCCUCAGUGCGGCGCAAUGGGUAGUCGGCAAGGCGCUAGCCCCCGUUGCGGACGGGGUGCUGGAGGCAUGGGCGGCCACCAGGAACUUUGGUUUCAACAUCGAGGCCCUCAGCAUGGAACUGAUGCUGGUGAAGGCCACGCUCGAACAAGCUGGACGCAAGGAGCUCGGCGGGCCGGCCAUGGAGAUGUUGCUGCAGAAGCUGCGUGACUCGGCGCAAAAUGCUGAAGACUUGCUAGAUGAGCUCGACUACUUCCGCAUCCACGAUGAGCUCCAUGGCACCGAUGAUGCUGCCGGCGAGCACAACAAGGGUUGCUUCCACAACCUUGCCUUUAAUGCUUGCCACACCGCCAAAGCUUUUGGCAAACUGGUCAACUGUGCUAAGCAUCGGCAGAGGUCACACAGCGACUCCUCGGCCCCAGACGCCAACCAGGAGCUUAGCGGAUGCAUGCCCAAGCUUGGUAAACUCCUCCCUUGCUCAUCUUCCCUGCAUCCACAUGUUCGUGAUGGUGAUCGUGGCAGUGAUGACGACUGUGAUAGUGAUGAUGAUUGUGGCAAUUUGCAAGAAACACCAAAGCUUGAGUUUAAUAGGGUUUAUUUCUCUCAAAGGAUGAAGGACAUUGUAGAGAAAUUGCAACUUAUGCGCAAUGAGGUUAGCAAGAUUCUGAUACAUUGUGGCCCUAGAACUGUCCCAGACAUUGCCCUGAGUCGUCCUAUCACCAAAAGUCGAAUUGAUGAGCCAAAACUGUAUGGGAGGGACCAUGUCAUGAAUAGCAUCAUACAUGAUAUCACCAAGGGUCAAUACUAUGACAAGGGUCUAACUGUGUUGCCGGUAGUGGGUACAGGGGGAAUGGGGAAGACAACUCUUAUACAACACAUAUAUCGCAGCCAGCAAGUGCAGAAUCAUUUUCCAGUCAUGAUUUGGAUAUGUGUAUCGCUCAAUUUCAAUCUAGAUAAGGUGCUAGAACAAAUUAAAACAUGUACACCUCGAGUUGAAAUGGAAAAAGAGGCUAUUACAACAGAAGAUGUGAUCGAACAAAGAUUAAAAUAUAAAAGGUUCUUGCUUGUAUUGGAUGAUAUAUGGCGGAUUAGUAAUGGUGAUGAUUGGAAAAAAUUAUUGUCGACGCUCAAUCAAUCAGAAGAAAGGGGGUGCAUGAUUCUAGUCACAACUCAGUUCCAGGCAAUAGCACAAAAGGUUAAAACAACUGGCCAAUCAAUAGAACUGAAUGGUUUAGAAUCUGAAGAGUUUAGGAAGUUAUUUCUUGCAUUUGUCUUUGGUGAUGAACAAUGUGCAAGGGAUAAACAUUUCUUACUUGAGACAGGAGAUAAGAUAAUGGAAAAGCUGAAGGGCUCCCCUCUUGCAGCAAAAACUGUUGGUAGAUUACUGAGUAAAGAACUUAGCUUGCGGCAUUGGAAAAGGGUCCUAAAAAGUAAGGAAUGGGAGAAGCAAACCGAUGACAAUGAAAUUAUGCCUGCCUUGAAGAUUAGCUUUGACUUUCUCCCUUUUUAUUUGAAACAAUGUUUCUCCUAUUCUGCAUUGUUUCCUGAAGAUUAUCAUUUCAGAAGCCACGAGCUCAUCAACCUGUGGACCGGACUAGACAUUUUGGUACCUGGUGGCCAAAACCAAGUUGUUCAAGAUAUAGGUUUGAGUAAUUUAAAUGAGCUAGUUAUCCAUGGAUUUUUCAGAGAAGAGGAAACUAAUGAUGGUCUGCAUUAUGUUAUGCAUGACCUAUUGCAUGAUUUGGCAUUGAAGGUUGCAUCACAUGAUUGUCUUAGUUUACAUCUCUCUGAUGUUGGGUCAGUAGAUAUUCAGCCAUCCACCCAUCACUUGUAUGUACGCACAGAGAACUUGGGUGAAUAUAAUGCAGUGUCUUCUCAAAACAUUAAGAGUGAAUUGGAAAAGUUGAAGACAUCAUUGAAGGUUGAACAUUUGCAAACAUUGAUGUUAUUUGGAAAAAUGGAUAAAGGUUUUGCCAAGAUAUUUGGUGAUUUUUUUGGGGAAGCAAAUGCUCUUCGUGUUCUUUAUUUUCCUGACAUGACGUAUCCCGUGGAAUCCAUGUUACAUAACUUUUCAGGACUUGUCCACCUACGAUUCCUAUGUCUAGGGACAAAGGAGUGGCAGAUGCAUUUACCACUUAGCAUCCUUAAAUUUUAUCACUUAAGGGUUCUAGAUCUUAAGUCGUGGCAUGGCAGUUGUGAUUUUCCUGAAGACAUGAGCAACCUUGCAAAAUUGUGCCAUUAUUAUACCCCAAGAGAUGAGGAGCUUCAUUCUCAUAUUUAUAAUGUGGGAAAACUUAAACUCUUGGAAGAGUUAAAGGUAUUUCAGGUCAAUAAAAAGAGUGAAGGAUUUGAACUAAAGCAACUAGAGCAUUUGACCAAGCUAAGGGAACUUGGCAUCUACAACCUCGAGAAAGUGCAUACAAAAGACGAAGCAGCUCAAGCAAAACUGAUAGAGAAAAACUACUUGAGGAGGUUAACAAUGGAUUGGGAUAGUGAUCGAUCUACUGUUGAGCCUGGUGUGGAAGCAAUGGUUCUUGAGAACCUUCGACCGCAUGGAGAUCUUCAAAUGUUGUGCAUUAGAGGGAACAGAGGCCCUUCUUGCCCAGCAUGGCUAGGUGAUGAGCUCGCUGUUGAUGCUCUACAAUCUCUUAGUCUUUAUUGUGUUUCUUGGGGAGUUUUCCCUUCUUUAGGGAAGGCAUGGGAUCUUCGUGAACUAAGAUUGGAGCAUGUUGACAAGCCGAAGGAGUUUACUAUAGAGAAAAGCUUUUGCAUGCUAAUAAAGCUUGAACUAAUUGGCCUAGGAAGUUUUGAAAAUUGGGUUUACCCAGCUGAACAAGAGUCUUCCGUUAGUGGAGACUUGUUGCCACCGGAUGCUCAUAUGUUCCCUCUUUUGCAAGUUCUGAUUAUUAGGGAGUGCCCGAAACUAUUGGGGUUGCCUUUCUUGGACCACAUUGUUUCCCCAGAUUGGUUCCCCAAGCUACAAGAGCUUGAGGUAUGCGACUGUCCCGAAUUCUUGCCAGUGAUUCCCAUCUCCUGGAUGGAAAGUCUUUGUUUUGUCAAGAUGAAAUGUAUAAAGAUGCUAAAGGAGUUUGCGUACUCAAAAUCAUCCAAUGGAGCAGAAUUGGAGAUUAUCGGAGAGGGUGAUCUACAUAGCAUCGACCAAGUGUUAGUUUUUGAUAAAGAAACUAGUCUUGGGAAGCUGACACUCGAGAGGUGCCCACCUCUGGAGUUGAAGCACCUCUUAAUGCUAACCUCGGUGAAGACAUUGAUUGUAAGAAAAUCAGAUGGUCUAGUUGGACCACUAGGAGGUCAGGGUGAUGUGGAAUGGCAGCUCCCUGUUGAGUUUAUCACGAUCUGGGACUUAAAUGGUAAUAGUGGGAAGGAAUUGACAGAUCUCAUCCCUCACCUCCCAAAUCUCUCUAAAUUGGACAUAAGGUUUUGUAAAAACAUAAAACGUUUGGUAGUAGGGGUGGAUUUGCGACAUACAACAUCGGCAGCACCAGAGAUGGAUGAAGAUGAAAUAAGAGCAGCAGAAGAGGAAGAGGAUGAAGGGGUGCUGCUCUUCCCAGCUCAUCUCUUUGACUCACUUCAGGAGUUGGUCAUCUGCGAGUCCCAAGAGCUGGUACUGGUGGACCCACCAACUCUUGUUCCAGGAGGAGGAUGGCUUGAAACCUUCCGAUCCCUCCAGAGACUAAGAAUAGAGGGCACCCCAAGAUUUCUAUCCGCCUUCUCAUUUUCCCAUCACAUUUUUCCUUCCUCCCUGAGGUUCCUGAAGCUUUCAGCUGUGAAAGGCAUGGAGACACUGGAGCCCCUCUCAAAUCUCUUCUCUCUUACCAGAUUACAAUUGUGGUAUUGCGGAGAGGAUCUGAAAUGUCACGGCUUGGAGUUUCUCCUUGCCUGUGGCCAACUCAAGGAAUUACAAGUCAUUGGAAGCCAUAGGUUCUUUGCUGGUUGGGUUCCCAAUCCCUGGCGGGAGCCUGUUUCAUCCACACUGCGGGAGCUCUGCACGGAUGAUGCCAGGGGACUUCUUAGUGCACCUAUCUGCAGCUUCCUCUCUUCCUCCCUCACCAAGCUUGAACUUGGUGGGAUAGGGUCUGAAGGGAUGAAGCGCUUCAGCAAGAAGCAAGAGGCCGCCCUUCAGCUCCUCUCCUCCCUCCAGCAACUUAAGUUUUUGUGUUUCCACAGUCUUCAGCAACUCCCUGCAGGGCUGCACAAGCUUAACAGUCUCAACACAUUAUUGCUCCGCUUCUGCCCAGCUGUCUCGUCGUUGCCCAACGAUGGCCUCCUGGAUUACCUGCUAGAGCUGGAUGUCUCUAAGUGCUGUAACGCGGAGCUGAAAGAGCAGUGCAGGGGGUUACUGGGAACCAUACUUUCCGUCAAAAUAGACUGA